AGAGAGUUAGCUUUGCAAACAUCUCAAGUGUGCAAAGAACUUGGAAAGCACUUGAAAAUUCAAGUGAUGGUUACAACUGGUGGUACUAGCCUGAAAGAUGAUAUCUUACGCUUAUAUCAACCAGUUUAUUUACUAGUUGGGACUCCUGGAAGGAUAUGGGAUCUCGCUAAAAAGGGUGUUUGCGUUCUGAAAGAUUCCGCAAUGCUUGUUAUGGAUGAGGCUGAUAAGCUUUUGUUCCUAGAAUUCCAGCCUUCUAUACAGCAGCUGAUUCAUUUUCUUCCUUAACACUGACAAAUUCUAAUGUUUUCAGCAACAUUUCCUUUUACUGUAAAAGACUUCAAAGAUAGGUAUCUUCAAAAGCCAUAUGCCAUUAACCUUAUGGAUGAGCUAACCUUGAAGGGUAUCACACAGUAUUAUGCAUUUGUCGAAGAGAGACAGAAGGUUCACUGUCUGAAUACACUAUUUUCUAAGGUUUUGAUUUUUGGCUUUGUACUGAUAUGUAUCUGCACUCUAGCAUCCCCUAUAACAUAGUCAGCGUCCUUUUUAGCUGAUUGUGAAUGAUGCCUAUUUGAUCUAGUAUGGCAUUUCAUAAUAUAUAAUUGCCUUCGCUUUAUGUUUGUUAUUUUCCAAUACUAUGUUUGUGAAUGCUGGCUACGCGACAAGAUUGGCUGCCAAG
RNA transcript from Arachis duranensis, 676 nucleotides. RefSeq lists it as uncharacterized. The transcript is spliced from 2 exons. Lineage: Eukaryota; Viridiplantae; Streptophyta; Magnoliopsida; Fabales; Fabaceae. The record is from RefSeq and is a predicted model, not a curated record.